Molecule: ribosomal RNA, 919 nt
Filed under: uncultured bacterium
Lineage: Bacteria
Description: bacterial SSU rRNA
Rfam family: Bacterial small subunit ribosomal RNA
Source: RNAcentral
GGGUGAGUAACACGUGAGAAUCUGCCUUCAGGAUGGGGACAACAGUUAGAAAUGACUGCUAAUACCCAAUAGGCCGCAAGGUGAAAGAUUUAUCGCCUGAAGAGGAGCUCGCGUCCGAUUAGCUAGUUGGGGUGGUAAAAGCGCACCAAGGCAACGAUCGGUAGCUGGUCUGAGAGGAUGAGCAGCCACACUGGGACUGAGACACGGCCCAGACUCCUACGGGAGGCAGCAGUGGGGAAUUUUCCGCAAUGGGCGCAAGCCUGACGGAGCAAUACCGCGUGAGGGAGGAAGGCUUUUGGGUUGUAAACCUCUUUUCUCAAGGAAGAAGAACUGACGGUACUUGAGGAAUCAGCAUCGGCUAACUCCGUGCCAGCAGCCGCGGUAAUACGGAGGAUGCAAGCGUUAUCCGGAAUUAUUGGGCGUAAAGCGUCCGCAGGUGGUGCAUCAAGUCUGCUGUCAAAGACCAGGGCUUAACCCUGGGACGGCGGUGGAAACUGGUGGACUAGAGUACGGUAGGGGUAGAGGGAAUUCCCAGUGUAGCGGUGAAAUGCGUAGAGAUUGGGAAGAACACCAGUGGCGAAGGCGCUCUACUGGACCUGUACUGACACUCAGGGACGAAAGCUAGGGGAGCGAAAGGGAUUAGAUACCCCUGUAGUCCUAGCUGUAAACGAUGGAUACUAGGCGUUGCUUGUAUCGACCCGAGCAGUGCCGUAGCUAACGCGUUAAGUAUCCCGCCUGGGGAGUACGCACGCAAGUGUGAAACUCAAAGGAAUUGACGGGGGCCCGCACAAGCGGUGGAGUAUGUGGUUUAAUUCGAUGCAACGCGAAGAACCUUACCAGGACUUGACAUCCCGCGAAUCUCGAUGAAAGUUGAGAGUGCCUUAGGGAGCGCGGAGACAGGUGGUGCAUGGCUGUCGUC